CCUACGGGAGGCAGCAGUGGGGAAUAUUGCACAAUGGGCGAAAGCCUGAUGCAGCAACGCCGCGUGAGGGAAGAAGGUCUUCGGAUUGUAAACCUUUGUCCUAAGUGAAGAAACAAAUGACGGUAGCUUAGGAGGAAGCCACGGCUAACUCCGUGCCAGCAGCCGCGGUAAUA
This 173-nucleotide ribosomal RNA is filed under the name uncultured bacterium. RNAcentral describes it as "partial 16S ribosomal RNA". It matches the Rfam family "Bacterial small subunit ribosomal RNA", at positions 338 to 525 of the family's 1533-position model. The record is from RNAcentral.